Molecule: ribosomal RNA, 253 nt
Filed under: uncultured bacterium
Lineage: Bacteria
Description: partial 16S ribosomal RNA
Rfam family: Bacterial small subunit ribosomal RNA
Source: RNAcentral
UACGAAGGGGGCUAGCGUUGUUCGGAAUUACUGGGCGUAAAGCGCGCGCAGGCGGUUUUCCAAGUCAGUGGUGAAAGCCCGGAGCUCAACUCCGGAACUGCCAUUGAAACUGUUAAACUUGAGUACGAAAGAGGGUCGCGGAAUUCCCGGUGUAGAGGUGAAAUUCGUAGAUAUCGGGAGGAGCACCGGUGGCGAAGGCGGCUUCCUGGACACUAACUGACGCUGAGACGCGAAAGCGUGGGGAGCAAACAGG